RNAcentral lists this long non-coding RNA (477 nucleotides) under Manihot esculenta (cassava). Its description in RNAcentral is "long non-coding RNA (MESC_LNC009627)". The record is from RNAcentral. Lineage: Eukaryota; Viridiplantae; Streptophyta; Magnoliopsida; Malpighiales; Euphorbiaceae.
GGCGGCCGAAAGUCCCUCCAGAGCCGAAAGUCAGGCAGGUUCGGCGGCACCUUCGGCGGCCGAAAGUGCCAGACAGAGACGAAAGUCUCUUUUCGGGGGCACCUUCGGCAGCCGAAUGCUGCCUCCACAAAAGGGGUUCGGCGGCCGAAACUCCCUUCGGCUGCCGAACCUGGUUUCUGCCAAACGGCAGAAACUUGGUUCAAAUGAACCUCCUGCCUCCCAAAACCAUAAAUCACGCAUAUAUCUCAACCAAAACAUGCAUACAAGUUCCUAGGGGCCUCAAACAUACAUAUACCCCAUCUACAACACUUCAAUCGCACACAAACAAGCUACAUUGUUCAAAACAUCAAUAUAUACCCAUAACCUCAACAUAUAACCUAACAUGCAUUUCUACCCAUAGAUCUUGCAUAAAACUUAUUUAAAACUCAUAAGGAGCUUAAGAUCGGCUCUUACCUCUUGAAGAUCGAGAGGGAGACG